AUCAAAACAAGAAGAAAAUAUUAAAAGGACAUUUUGUGCCAGUACAUCAUGGUUGUGCUGGAUUACCUACCCAACUCUGUAUAAUGGUUUUUCAAACAAUUUGUGAAGAAUGUUAGAAUCUUCAGAGUCUUCUGCAUCAGCAAAGAGUAGUGAAACUAAUGGAAAAGAUAAAAUUUUUGGUGCUCAUGAUGACUUAAUUUAAUAGUCAGAACGUGAGAACAGCUGAGAAUUUACAUUCCUGAAAACUAGAGGCGGUUGCCGAAUCGGAUAGCCGUUGGUUCUACAGCCACUAUAAUGAUCUGAAAAGCUGAAUGAGUUGCAUGAACACUGUCAGGAAUCAUAAUAGAACUCAGCUAAUUGGAUAGAGAAGGGAAUGUUGAUUUGAAGACAAUUACUAUAUAAAGAUUUUCUCAUUGCUGCUGUGCUGUUGCAUUAACUCAAGAAGUGGAGACACUUCUACAUGGAUAAGAAUUGUGUGAUUGAAUUGAUUGUGGAAUCAUCUCAGUGUUUUCAUAAAAUAUUCACUGUAUGUAGUCAAUUUUUUCCUCAGAGUUGAUGCUUACAAAUACUUGUCAAGUUGGAAAAAUUCACUUUUACUUUUAUUUGCAUCACACUUAAUAGAUUAGAAACUAGAUUGCUUUUAAUUGAGUCUUCAUUUACAACCUCAAGGAAUAUUCUGG
RNAcentral lists this long non-coding RNA (680 nucleotides) under Mus pahari (shrew mouse). Its description in RNAcentral is "lncRNA (MGP_PahariEiJ_G0011977.1)". The record is from RNAcentral. Lineage: Eukaryota; Metazoa; Chordata; Mammalia; Rodentia; Muridae.